CAGCAGCCGCGGUAACACGUAGGUGGCAAGCGUUGUCCGGAAUUAUUGGGCGUAAAGGGCUCGCAGGCGGUUUCUUAAGUCUGAUGUGAAAGCCCCCGGCUCAACCGGGGAGGGUCAUUGGAAACUGGGAAACUUGAGUGCAGAAGAGGAGAGUGGAAUUCCACGUGUGGCGGUGAAAUGCGUAGAGAUGUGGAGGAACACCAGUGGCGAAGGCGACUCUCUGGUCUGUAACUGACGCUCAUGCACGAAAGCGUGGGGAGCAAACAGGAUUAGAUACCCGUGUAGUCCCUGUCUCUUAUAC
This 301-nucleotide ribosomal RNA is filed under the name uncultured bacterium. RNAcentral's name for it is "partial 16S ribosomal RNA". It matches the Rfam family "Bacterial small subunit ribosomal RNA", at positions 509 to 807 of the family's 1533-position model. The record is from RNAcentral.